Molecule: long non-coding RNA, 354 nt
Organism: Suricata suricatta (meerkat)
Lineage: Eukaryota; Metazoa; Chordata; Mammalia; Carnivora; Herpestidae
Exons: 4
Source: RefSeq, a predicted model, not a curated record
GAAAAUGACAGGACAAAGGAAAGCAAUUUUAGGCCUCCGGGGACAGCACGUUGUGGGAAGGUUCUUAAACAAUAUUUAGAGAAGUAUGUGCCUCCAGUCUUCAGGGAAGGUCUCGAUAAAAAGGAAAUAGGUCAGUGAUCUAUGGACGGAAGCCAGGAGACCAAAUUAGAGCAACGGAGAAGCCAAUCUGUGAGCCUAGGAUGGAGAUGGGAGAGGUACCCAGAGAUAUUAGAGCUGUUUGCCUCUUAUUGGGAUCAGAAAGUGGGAACGUGGAGAAAAAGGCGUCUUCCAGAGAGAAGCCCAAAGGGGUUUGUGCAGAAAGGUCAACCUUCCAGGGCGUAGGGAGUGGAGGAG